UUAAGCAUAUCAAUAAGCGGAGGAAAAGAAACCAACAGGGAUUGUCUUAGUAACGGCGAGUGAAGCGACAAAAGCUCAAAUUUGAAAUCUGGCACCUUCGGUGUCCGAGUUGUAAUUUGAAGAAGGUAACUUUGGAGUUGGCUCUUGUCUAUGUUCCUUGGAACAGGACGUCACAGAGGGUGAGAAUCCCGUGCGAUGAGAUGUCCAACUCUAUGUAAAGUGCUUUCGAAGAGUCGAGUUGUUUGGGAAUGCAGCUCUAAGUGGGUGGUAAAUUCCAUCUAAAGCUAAAUAUUGGCGAGAGACCGAUAGCGAACAAGUACAGUGAUGGAAAGAUGAAAAGAACUUUGAAAAGAGAGUGAAAAAGUACGUGAAAUUGUUGAAAGGGAAGGGUUUGAGAUCAGACUUGGUAUUUUGUAUGUCUUGCUUUCGGGUGGGGCCUCUGCAGUUUACUGGGCCAGCAUCGGUUUGGACGGUAGGAUAAUGACAUUGGAAUGUGGCAC
This 500-nucleotide ribosomal RNA is filed under the name Scheffersomyces shehatae. RNAcentral's name for it is "eukaryotic LSU rRNA". It matches the Rfam family "Eukaryotic large subunit ribosomal RNA", at positions 34 to 541 of the family's 3401-position model. Lineage: Eukaryota; Fungi; Ascomycota; Pichiomycetes; Serinales; Debaryomycetaceae. The record is from RNAcentral.